GCCUUCAUGGUGUAGUGGUCAGCACGCUCGACGCGUAACCGAGAGGUCCGUGGUUCGACUCCCGGCGAAGGCG
Molecule: transfer RNA, 73 nt
Filed under: Stegodyphus mimosarum
Lineage: Eukaryota; Metazoa; Arthropoda; Arachnida; Araneae; Eresidae
Rfam family: tRNA
About the family: Transfer RNA (tRNA) molecules are approximately 80 nucleotides in length. Their secondary structure includes four short double-helical elements and three loops (D, anti-codon, and T loops).
Source: Rfam by way of RNAcentral